Trichinella spiralis is the source of this 161-nucleotide non-coding RNA. NCBI's taxonomy places the organism in Eukaryota, Metazoa, Nematoda, Enoplea, Trichinellida, Trichinellidae. The record is from Rfam.
AAACUUACUUGGCGGGGGAUUGUCUGUGAUCAAGAAGGCAGGAAUCCCAGAGGGAGGCGUAUUCAUUGCACUACGAAUGGCGCUGAACUCUGUGCUGCCCCGAAUAGGGGCAGGCAACCGCGUAAUUUUUUAGUGUGGGAUUGCGUUCGCGCUAUCCCGAC